This 253-nucleotide ribosomal RNA is filed under the name uncultured bacterium. Its description in RNAcentral is "partial 16S ribosomal RNA". It matches the Rfam family "Bacterial small subunit ribosomal RNA", at positions 524 to 776 of the family's 1533-position model. The record is from RNAcentral.
UACGUAGGGUGCAAGCGUUGUUCGGAAUUAUUGGGCGUAAAGGGUGCGUAGGCGGUUUGGUAAGUCUUAUGUGAAAUCUAUGGGCUCAACUCAUAGACUGCAUGAGAAACUGCCGGGCUUGAGUAUGGGAGAGGUGAGUGGAAUUCCUGGUGUAGCGGUGAAAUGCGUAGAUAUCAGGAGGAACACCUGUGGCGAAAGCGGCUCACUGGACCAUAACUGACGCUGAUGCACGAAAGCUAGGGGAGCAAACAGG